UUUGAUCACUCGCCGAAUCCUGCCGGUGGUCGGAGGCACAUGACGCGCAAGCGCCGUAGGCAGGAGCGGGGGACCCAAGGUAAGUGCCGGCCCCACCCGUGAAAGCGGGUCAACCGGCUUGGGGUGAAGCCGCGUGUGCGCAGUAGCGCGCACCGGCCGGGCCACUCACAGCCCGAACCCGACAGCUCACCUCGUAGGCGUCGGUGAGGAAACGA
RNAcentral lists this small RNA (215 nucleotides) under Streptomyces natalensis. RNAcentral describes it as "c-di-AMP sequence". It matches the Rfam family "c-di-AMP riboswitch aptamer (ydaO/yuaA leader)". Rfam says of the family: This family represents a conserved RNA structure found upstream of the ydaO and yuaA genes in Bacillus subtilis and related genes in other bacteria. The record is from RNAcentral. Lineage: Bacteria; Bacillati; Actinomycetota; Actinomycetes; Kitasatosporales; Streptomycetaceae.